UUAUCAGCUUGGGUGUUUUAGAGAGCACCCAGUUCUGUGAUAUUUGACUCUUUAUUAAUUAUGUGUGGACCAAUAUAAAAAAUUGGUUUAUUUUAAAUCUUCCGGCCGCGCCCCACGCCAAGCAAGUUUUUUUCAAGAAAACACUUUGUGCAUUAAGCAAAUCAGUAAAGAUCUUCUUCCUGUUGGUGAACCUGCGGAAGGAUCAUUA
RNAcentral lists this ribosomal RNA (208 nucleotides) under [Candida] sp. YS43. Its description in RNAcentral is "Candida sp. YS43 partial 18S ribosomal RNA". The record is from RNAcentral. Lineage: Eukaryota; Fungi; Ascomycota; Saccharomycetes; Saccharomycetales.